GCUGCGGGAGCGCGCCCGGAAGCAGCAGCAGCGGCGCCAGAUCUGCAGCCUCAGCUUCAACCUGGACGAGGAGGAGGAGGGGGGGGACAGCCCCCCCCGGGACCCCCCCAGCGACGAGGAGCCCCCCCGGAAGAAGAAACUGGGGAAGAACCCGGACGUGGACACCAGUUUCCUCCCGGAUCGCGACAGGGAGGAGGAGGAGAACCGACUGCGGGAGGAGCUGCGCCAGGAGUGGGAGGCCAAGCAGGAGAAGAUCAAAAGUGAGCGGGAUCUAUGGGGCUGGGAUCUAUGGGGCUGGGAUCUAUGGGGCUGGGAUCUAUGGGGUGGGAUCUAUGGGGCUGGGAUGUAUGGGGCCAGGCCCCCGUGGAUCUGUGGGGCGGGAU
This 383-nucleotide long non-coding RNA is filed under the name Numida meleagris (helmeted guineafowl). RNAcentral describes it as "lncRNA (ENSNMEG00000000375.1)". Lineage: Eukaryota; Metazoa; Chordata; Aves; Galliformes; Numididae. The record is from RNAcentral.